RNAcentral lists this ribosomal RNA (253 nucleotides) under uncultured bacterium. RNAcentral describes it as "partial 16S ribosomal RNA". It matches the Rfam family "Bacterial small subunit ribosomal RNA", at positions 524 to 776 of the family's 1533-position model. The record is from RNAcentral.
UACGGAGGGAGCUAGCGUUGUUCGGAAUUACUGGGCGUAAAGGGCGCGUAGGCGGCCUGCUAAGUCGAACGUGAAAUCCCCGGGCUCAACCCGGGAACUGCGUCCGAUACUGGCAGGCUUGAAUUCGGGAGAGGGAUGCGGAAUUCCAGGUGUAGCGGUGAAAUGCGUAGAUAUCUGGAGGAACACCGGUGGCGAAGGCGGCAUCCUGGACCGAAAUUGACGCUGAGGCGCGAAAGCCAGGGGAGCAAACGGG